RNAcentral lists this ribosomal RNA (629 nucleotides) under uncultured Bacteroidales bacterium. RNAcentral's name for it is "bacterial SSU rRNA". It matches the Rfam family "Bacterial small subunit ribosomal RNA", at positions 78 to 702 of the family's 1533-position model. The record is from RNAcentral. Lineage: Bacteria; Pseudomonadati; Bacteroidota; Bacteroidia; Bacteroidales.
GCUUGCUUUCUUUGCUGGCGACCGGCGCACGGGUGAGUAACACGUAUCCAACCUGCCCUUUACUCGGGGAUAGCCUUUCGAAAGAAAGAUUAAUACCCGAUAGCAUAAUGAUUCCGCAUGGUUUCAUUAUUAAAGGAUUCCGGUAAAGGAUGGGGAUGCGUUCCAUUAGGUUGUUGGUGAGGUAACGGCUCACCAAGCCUUCGAUGGAUAGGGGUUCUGAGAGGAAGGUCCCCCACAUUGGAACUGAGACACGGUCCAAACUCCUACGGGAGGCAGCAGUGAGGAAUAUUGGUCAAUGGGCGCUAGCCUGAACCAGCCAAGUAGCGUGAAGGAUGAAGGCUCUAUGGGUCGUAAACUUCUUUUAUAUAAGAAUAAAGUGCAGUAUGUAUACUGUUUUGUAUGUAUUAUAUGAAUAAGGAUCGGCUAACUCCGUGCCAGCAGCCGCGGUAAUACGGAGGAUCCGAGCGUUAUCCGGAUUUAUUGGGUUUAAAGGGAGCGUAGGUGGACUGGUAAGUCAGUUGUGAAAGUUUGCGGCUCAACCGUAAAAUUGCAGUUGAUACUGUCAGUCUUGAGUACAGUAGAGGUGGGCGGAAUUCGUGGUGUAGCGGUGAAAUGCUUAGAUAUCACGA